Molecule: non-coding RNA, 1425 nt
Organism: Camelina sativa (false flax)
Lineage: Eukaryota; Viridiplantae; Streptophyta; Magnoliopsida; Brassicales; Brassicaceae
Source: RefSeq, a predicted model, not a curated record
CCUUUCUCUUAUCUCUCUCGAGGUUAACGGCGAAUCCAUCGUCGAUUCACCUUAAAUGCAGAAAAAUCGAUUAAACUCGAGGGUUUUGGUAUAUGACACCGAUUUGUUUUCGACUUCCAAUCACAAUUACUGUCAUAUCUCGUUCGCUUCUGUUCUCAAGAUCCUGAAUUUUCUCCAAACUUUCAUCGGUGUAUCGAUCAUAAUCUACUCGAUUUGGAUGCUCGAUCAAUAUAACCAUCACCUUCCCGCCGUUGAACCUCCUCCGUCUCAGCCUCCGGCGGCUUCAUCUCCGGUUUCUUCUUCUUAUAAUACCUUCUCUUAUACUUCAGGAAUUGAGAUCAACGAAAGGAGUUAGCACUGAUCUGAAGCUGUUGUUGGAGCUCUGAAUGGAGGACGAGAGCUUGCUGCUACUGCACUCAAUGCACCUAUGGUUUCUCCUGAGGACGAGUAUGAUGUUAAGGACGAGGUAGGGAAAUAACAAUGUGGGCACAGGUUCUUGUUCUCUUUGGCAAAAAAAUGCAGAACAAACACAAAUGCAAGCUCUGUUCCAAGAGUUUCUGUAAUGGCAGAGCACUUGGUGGUGGUCACAUGAAGUCUCACUUGGUCUCAUCCCAACCGUCCACUCGGAAGAAACUCGCUGACUCGGUCCAUUCAUCUUCUUGCUCUUCCUCCGACGGUAAAUCUCUCAUCCCAAUCCUGGACAUGUUCUCAUCCAUAAAAAUAGAGUUCUCUCUUGGAAUGAACUCAUAAAUCUCAGUCAAUAAAUCUCAUCCUGCAAUUUCUUGAGAUGUGAGUCUAACUACUUAUUCUCGUGAUCUCCUCUCCUGUAUAUUUAUUCAUAUUAUGUAACAACCAUCUGAUCUUGUUUCUUAAUUUUAAUCAGCAUUUUGCUGAUAAGAGAUAUGUUAAUGGUUGCUAGUAGUGAGUUUUCAAGCUACUAGUGUGUUCUGUUUUUAACAAGAUGGUUGAGCAGGGGUUCUGUUCUAGUUCCUGUUGUUUAAACAGGUUAUUGUGGUGAGUCUACAAUGGUAUAAUCUGUUAGUGAGAUUCACUACAAGUUGAAUCAAAGUGCUUCAGGUUAGAAGCCAAGAUGAUUCUGUUCUUUCUGCAUAUGAUUCAAGUAAAUUGAAGAUGAGGUCGUGAGAGAGAGUUGGAACCAUAUGGAGCCGCAUUAUGUAGCACACAAUGUAGCUAGAAGGGUGAGCGAAAACAUGUAAUAGCUUUAGCUUUGGGGAGUGUUUUUUUCAUUAGAACAUAGGUUGAUACAAAGAGUGUUCAUGAGUGAGUGAUGAGUGAGACACUUGUAAUUUGUAUCUGUGUUUCUUCUUAUAGUGGAUUCCGAGCAAGAGUCUCGGCGAGAUGUAGGUGGUGUCACAUUGACACUACUGAACUUGUUAAAUGUGUGUGCUCCCAUCUUCUUCUCUA